Molecule: small RNA, 122 nt
Filed under: Pseudomonas sp. AD21
Lineage: Bacteria; Pseudomonadati; Pseudomonadota; Gammaproteobacteria; Pseudomonadales; Pseudomonadaceae
Source: RNAcentral
AGAGAUCGAGCGUGAGAAACGCAAGGAACAGACCUGGAAGCACGAUGAUGACAAGGAACUCACAGGGCCCGAUGUGAAGUUCUGAAUCCGUUUUGCGAAAAGCCCCGCAAUUGCGGGGCUUU